UACAGAUGUAACAGGGCAAUAAAGAGAGAAUCUGGUGCUCAGUCCAACGCAGGAGGCAGGAAGCGCUCUAGCUCGUAUCAGGGCGCAGGACGGGCAUCGUGGUGGGUCUACUCGGAGCGUGCGGAGGCGAACGGGGAACUAGUAUUAUGGCGGAACAGGAUGUGGAAAACGAGCUUCUGGAUUAUGAGGAAGAUGAAGAGCCCCAGGCUCCUACAGAGAGUACCCCAGUACCCCCCAAGAAAGAUGUCAAGGGGUCCUAUGUUUCCAUCCACAGCUCUGGCUUCCGGGACUUUCUGCUGAAGCCUGAGCUCCUGAGGGCCAUAGUGGACUGUGGCUUUGAGCAUCCCUCUGAGGUUCAGCACCAGAGUAUUCCCCAAGCCAUCCUGGGCAUGGAUGUCCUGUGCCAGGCCAAGUCUGGAAUGGGCAAGACUGCAGUCUUCGUGCUGGCCACCCUACAGCAGAUCGAGCCCGUCAAUGGACAGGUGACCGUCCUGGUCAUGUGCCACACUCGGGAGCUGGCCUUUCAGAUCAGCAAGGAGUAUGAGCGCUUCUCCAAGUACAUGCCCAGUGUCAAGGUGUCCGUGUUCUUCGGGGGUCUUUCCAUCAAGAAGGACGAAGAGGUGUUGAAGAAGAACUGUCCCCACGUCGUGGUGGGGACUCCAGGUCGCAUCUUGGCACUCGUGCGGAACAGGAGCCUCAACCUGAGAAACGUGAAGCACUUCGUGCUGGACGAGUGUGACAAGAUGCUGGAGCAGCUGGACAUGCGGCGGGAUGUACAGGAGAUCUUUCGCCUGACGCCACACGAGAAGCAGUGCAUGAUGUUCAGUGCCACCCUGAGCAAGGAGAUCCGGCUCGUCUGCAGGAAGUUCAUGCAAGAUCCCAUGGAGGUGUUUGUGGACGACGAGACCAAGCUCACGCUGCAUGGGCUGCAGCAGUACUAUGUCAAGCUCAAAGACAGCGAAAAGAACCGUAAACUCUUCGACCUCCUGGACGUGCUAGAGUUUAACCAGGUGGUGAUCUUCGUGAGGUCGGUGCAGCGCUGCAUGGCCCUGGCCCAGCUGCUCGUGGAACAGAACUUCCCAGCCAUCACCAUCCACAGGGGCAUGGCCCAGGAGGAGCGCCUAUCACGCUAUCAGCAGUUCAAGGACUUUCAGCGGCGGAUCCUGGUGGCCACUGAUCUGUUUGGCCGAGGGAUGGACAUUGAGCGAGUCAACAUCGUCUUCAAUUAUGACAUGCCUGAGGACUCGGACACCUACCUCCACCGGGUGGCCCGUGCCGGUCGCUUUGGCACCAAAGGCCUGGCUAUCACUUUUGUGUCUCAUGAGAAUGAUGCCAAAAUCCUCAAUGAGGUUCAGGGUCGGUUUGAAGUCAAUGUGGCGGAGCUUCCUGAAGAAAUGGACAUCUCCACAUACAUGGAGCCGAGCCACUAACCACACACCUGACAUCCGGAGCCACCCUGCUUCCCACGUGCUGCUUCAAGUCCUCUUUCUAGGCGACAGUGGGGCUUUCUUUUUCUGUUCAAACACUGUAGAUUUGUGUAAGAAUAAAUUUUUAUUAUGGAAAAAAAAAAAA
This is an RNA transcript of Myotis lucifugus (little brown bat), 1572 nucleotides long. It is a transcript of the gene named ATP-dependent RNA helicase DDX39A pseudogene, with no coding region annotated. NCBI's taxonomy places the organism in Eukaryota, Metazoa, Chordata, Mammalia, Chiroptera, Vespertilionidae. The record is from RefSeq and is a predicted model, not a curated record. The transcript has a single exon.